ACUUUCAGCAACGGAUCUCUUGGCUCUGGCAUCGAUGAAGAACGCAGCGAAAUGCGAUAAGUAAUGUGAAUUGCAGAAUUCAGUGAAUCAUCGAAUCUUUGAACGCACAUUGCGCCCGCCAGCACUCUGGCGGGCAUGCCUGUUCGAGCGUCAUUU
This 156-nucleotide ribosomal RNA is filed under the name Leucosphaerina sp. Its description in RNAcentral is "5.8S ribosomal RNA". It matches the Rfam family "5.8S ribosomal RNA". Rfam says of the family: 5.8S ribosomal RNA (5.8S rRNA) is a component of the large subunit of the eukaryotic ribosome. The record is from RNAcentral. Lineage: Eukaryota; Fungi; Ascomycota; Sordariomycetes; Hypocreales.